GAUGAAGAUUUUUACCGGCAUAGGAGGAUGUUCUUGAACUGAAUUAUUCAACGGGACAAUGAGCUUGAAGUCAUCGUCGAUAGGAUAAUCUGAAAGUAUCUGUAGGAGCUACGAUCAUCCCGUCAAGCUGCAACCAAACAAAAGAACUCACAUCUUUUAGUUUCAAGAGUAAGGACCCGAGAAAGAUAUCGGGCCAACGAGGAAUAUGUAUUCAGCCGGUACGAUCAUCGUUGAUGCCUCGAC
Molecule: long non-coding RNA, 243 nt
Organism: Capsella rubella
Lineage: Eukaryota; Viridiplantae; Streptophyta; Magnoliopsida; Brassicales; Brassicaceae
Exons: 3
Source: RefSeq, a predicted model, not a curated record